UACGGAGGGUGCAAGCGUUGUCCGGAUUUAUUGGGUUUAAAGGGUGCGUAGGUGGUUUUAUAAGUCUGGUUUGAAAGCUGGUCGCUCAACGAUCAGAUGUGGCUGGAAACUAUAGAACUUGAAUGGAUUGGCGGUAGCCGGAAUGGGUCAUGUAGCGGUGAAAUGCAUAGAUAUGACCCGGAACCCCGAUUGCGAAGGCAGGCUACUACGAUUUGAUUGACACUGAGGCACGAGAGCAUGGGUAGCGAACAGG
This 253-nucleotide ribosomal RNA is filed under the name uncultured bacterium. RNAcentral describes it as "partial 16S ribosomal RNA". It matches the Rfam family "Bacterial small subunit ribosomal RNA", at positions 524 to 776 of the family's 1533-position model. The record is from RNAcentral.